AACUAGAAGAGAUAAUGUUCUUAUUGAUUCUAAACUGCAUGAUGGUAUUCGGUAUAGAUCUCAAACAAAGCAUGACUGUAAUUCCUAGCUGGGAUUGGAGAGGGUAAAAAGCUUGCUAACCGGGUGAUUUGAAUACAAAGAUGUAUACAAGUGAUAUAAUUUAAGUUUGCAGUACCUGAAAUAAAUGAACUUAACAUCUAUUAUAAUUUUUGUAUGUAGACAUGGAGAAAAGCAGCAGAUUAAUAUAAAAAAGGUUUUCAAAAAAGAAAUGAAAGUGGAUAAAUACAUAAAUAGUUGAACAGCAGCAACAGUAACAACAACAGCAAAUAAAUGAGCAAUGUUGCAAGACACAGUUACAGCCUCACAAACUUGUGAACAUCAAUACCCAAACCACACUUGGGAAUGAGUUUGUUGAAGGAAAACAAGGUAUUGAAGUGUGUCAUUGCUGCUGGCUGUGUACAACCCCUGAACACCAAAGAUCAACCUCCUCUUCAGAUGCAGUUACUCAGAUAACAGCACUGCAGAUAGGUCAUUUUGUAACCUUGAAUUUUCAAAGUCACAAGUUUACUCCAAUUUCAAGAAGUUACAAGUGACACUUCUGUGGCACCUGUCACUGCGAGAAGCUGCCCUGCUCUCUACAAGGGAAUUGUUGUGGUUACAUUCCAAAUAUUUUCCAUGUGCAUGUUUCAAUAUUUUAGAUCUGGUAUUCUUUGAUUCUUUGUCUUGCUCAAAAGCAAGAUUGUGCCAUCAAAACCUAUAAUCCAUUUUAAUCCAGAAUUCACUUGAACUGUUUCUCAUACUCUUGGAUGUCUGUUGACCAGAUUUUUCUUUGAAAAAUUUUUUUUAUUGCUCAGAUAUAUGUCUGUUAUCAUGUUCACUCUACCAGUGUUGUAAAUAGUCAUUUUUCACUAAAAGCAUCCAGUUUGACAUAUUCAUAACUACUUUAUUGUGUUCAUUCAGUUUGUUGUUGCUGUGUGUGUGUAUUCAGGAAGACCUUUUAUAUUUUUAUAAAUUAAUUGGAUUUUAUUAUCGGUUAACAAAAACCUUAUUGUUUGUAUUAUAUAUUAAAAUGUUAUUGUCUUCAAAGCACAAAAAUAGAAGAACAUUUGUCAACAGCUGUGUACCUGAUGCGCAGUGAGCUUAGAUAUUAUUGUAAAUUGUAUAAUGUAUGAAAAUCUAUAAAUAGUCUAACCAAAGCCUUUAAAAAUUAUCAUAUUGUUGAUAUCGGGUAAAUGAUGAUGAAUCUGGUGCAAGAGUUUUCAUAAGUCCAUUUGUAUAAAUAUCAUCAGUAACCCCUUUUGAAGAUAUUCAGUGUACAUACUUGUAUGAAAUAUAAAUAUAAUAAAUUGUAAAAUUAAAA
Molecule: long non-coding RNA, 1360 nt
Organism: Macrobrachium nipponense
Lineage: Eukaryota; Metazoa; Arthropoda; Malacostraca; Decapoda; Palaemonidae
Exons: 2
Source: RefSeq, a predicted model, not a curated record